ACAAAUUACAAGAGAACAUUUUUACCAAUCACCAUUACCAAAAUCACAGUUACCCAGCAAUUAUUCUCCAACAUUAUCAGGAAAAACUAAUUAAGCAAUAGUAAAACAAUUAUUGGCUCAGCAGUGAAUUUCUCAAUGCUGUAUUCUAGAAUUCAACAAGUACCCGCUAUAAAUAAAUAUUUUCAAUGGUAUGAUCAAAAGAUUUGUUUCUGUUCAGCUUAGCUGAACUUUCGUUGAAAUCAGCCUUCCACCAGAAUCAAACUUGAGAAAAUUUCGUUAUGAAAAUAAAUGCUCUGUAGCAAAAUGUGAUAUGGUUUUUACCUUCAACUUCCCCAUGGAGGAUGAAACAUUAACGAUCCUUGGCGAAUCAGACAACUGGAGAAGUGGAAUAAGUGCCUCGGUCAUUCUUUUGGCACCAUAGUAGUUUAUUGUCAGGCAUUCUUCA
This 445-nucleotide unclassified non-coding RNA is filed under the name Hevea brasiliensis (rubber tree). The record is from RNAcentral. Lineage: Eukaryota; Viridiplantae; Streptophyta; Magnoliopsida; Malpighiales; Euphorbiaceae.